AAGAACAAGAAAGAAGAAAAACAAAAAAGAAAAAUGAAGAGAAAUACACGUGGAAAAAAGAGAAUAAAAUUUGGUCGAUAUAGUCGAUGCAGACAACGUCAGGAGGAUGAGCAAUUAGUGUCUUCGUAGAUUUAACGUUGAAGCGAGACGUCACGUCCUCGGAAAGCUCUGAGUAAGGAUCGAUGAGGAAGAGAAGAAGUGGCUGUAACAGUUGUAGAGAAAGGGGAAAAGAGAGGGGGAGGAGGGAGGUGUACGACUCGAAGGGGCACAAUUAGCGAGUUAACGCUUAGCUGUGCAAGAAGUGCCGCGAAGGCCUUGGAAUAAGUUACGAACCGUGACAGACGUUAAGGUUUUCUCUAGGGGCUCGUAAAGCGUGUCUUGAGAAUGUGAGAGAAGGGAAAACGACCUUCUUCCUCUCCUUCUGUAUUCUCGAAAAUGGAUGAAUGAUUGUGACGUUUCUCCUUCUAUUAACGUAAACCUAAUGCUAGUUUGUUUGUUCUCCAAUUAUUUUGGGUAAUAGAAUAUAAAAUCGAAUUUCGAGACGAAAUAAAAAAGAAACUAUCAUCAAAUUAAAUUCAUUCGAUGAGAAAUUUAUUGAAAAAUUGAUAAAAAAAAAUGAUUACGUUUUCUUUUAUACUUCGUUAUUUUCUCUCCCUCUUUUUUUUUUUUUUUUUUUUUUUUUUUUUGAUGAACGAACUUAUCCUUGAACACGAUAUUUCGAAGAUACUAAUUACUGAACUUACGCAAAGAUAUAGAUCUUCUACGUUUGUUAUAAUAAAAACUGUUUAACUAUACCACAUGAAGCAAAAAUGUUGAGUUAUGUUCGUACAGUACAACAAAAACUGGACUCGUAUAUACCUAACACGGAUAUACAAAUAUGUCCUAUCUAACUCGACUACUUUAAAUAUCUCCAUUGUUUUUCAUACGGCUCUAUACCUACUUGUGUAUUUCGUACUUGUCGACUAAAGUCAACAAUCAUAUAAAAAAAAAAGAGAAUAAACUCAAGUGUUUCAAACAAAUUAAGGACAUAGAAAAAAGAAAAGAAAAGAAAGAAAGAGGAAAGAAAAGUAAAAGAAGAAAAAAAAAGAAAAAUAUUUCAUCGACGCACAUAAUCUCGCUGUCGUAACUUUUUAAUAAUUUUUGUUAAAAUGAAAAAAAAACUGCUUUUUUAUAUUCCCAUAAUCCACAUUUGUUUAAUCUAAUUACAAGUGACUUGUAUAAUACUUGUUUCAUAAUAUCCUCUGUAUAUUAUACGGAGUUACAUAAUUAUAAUAUAAAAUAAUUUAUAUUAUAAUUCGUUAUUUAAGUGAAUUGAUCUAUGAUUAACGAAAGUGAAAAAGAGAAAGGAUAAAAUAGCAAUGAACUAAUUUUAUGAACGAUUGAAGAUAUUAUCUUAGGAUUUCUAACGCACGGAGAAGAUCUACUACCUUUGAUUCAAUCUUUUUUCCUACCUUUGAGGAGCUAUAAGAUCAUCGAUAACUUAAACGAAGUAUUCGUAAGAAGGAACGUUACGUUGAGUCUUUUUCGCGGUUGUCCAGAUUUACGACGCACUUUCAGUGACCGACAUUCUCUCCGCGAAAGAACGUAAUCCUACCGAAUGGACCUCUCAGGAAGGACGCGGAAGCAAAGAGAAAGAAAGGAAGACCUAUGUAUUACAUAACCAUCCCACAAUCGCGGACGUGAAGGAGAUCGCAACCGCACACACUCUAUCUCUUUUCCUCUCUCACUCGAAUGCAAGGAAUUGCAAGGAGUGCAGCCGGCCUUUAGAUCCUUCUUAAUGCUCCCCAACCUUCGAGAAAAAUCCGAAGACGAAGUCCUCGAACGCGUCGCGAGUGCCGAAACCAUCUGAAAAACUUUCCUCAGGAGGUGCUUUCAACGCUACGAAGCUCUUUUAUAAACAAUGAAUGAUCUAUAAGAAAGAUCUAAAGAAAAAGAGAAUGAAAGAAAAAGAAAGAAAGAGAGAGAGAGAGAGAGAGAGAGGCAGAAGUGUAAGAGAAAAAAAAACGAUGGAAGUGUCUUUAAACUUUGGCAAAUCGGAUUUUACUAUUCGUUCAAUUAUUUCAGUAUUAUCUCAAUUUAUCUUUUUCUCUAUUUAAAAAUCUAACAUUGUUUCAACCAAUAUUAUAUUAUAAUCGAAUGUAAACAAAAUUCUUAAAAGGAAAAAGAAAAAAAAAAUAUCUUUCACAUUAUUUCCGGUUCUUGUUAAUAUAAACAUCCUAGAUUAAACGAAAAUCUUAUAACUAUUUACGUAACUGAAUGUAAUGAAGAUCAUCCGUGCAAUAAAUAAAAUUUUUCGUUAAACAUAAAAAGGAAAGAAAAAAAA
Molecule: long non-coding RNA, 2323 nt
Organism: Vespa mandarinia (Asian giant hornet)
Lineage: Eukaryota; Metazoa; Arthropoda; Insecta; Hymenoptera; Vespidae
Source: RefSeq, a predicted model, not a curated record